AACAAAGCGUUUCAUAUUAGACUGCAGAAUCCAGUGAAGAAUCUGCAGGAUUAGUGUUAAUUUAAUAAAUAGUGCUGCUCUGCCCCUCUGUGGGAAUACUGAGAAGUGCAUGAGAAGAUGCACAGAAUUCAGAAUCAACUAAUACAGAUACCAUUAGUUAGAGAAAGAGGCUAAGUACAAAUAAAAUCCAGAGGCUUCUCUUCUAAUACGAAAUCCAUGCCAAAUAUUUAUAUUUUCUGAGUAUAGUGUCACUAGAUGCAAAACGAUAAGAUAUAAAUGACUUGGAACGUGAUUUGCAAAUGUCAGUUUUAAAUUCAUCUACUUUUAAAGUUGAAUUCAAUGUAUCUAUAUACUUAUUUUCUAUUUCUUCCACGUGAAAUGUCACUCGGUGGUGUAUAAAACAUGGUUACAAGUUUAAAAGUGAAACACAGGGAUAACAGUGAUAAUUAACAUUGAUUGAGUGAUUGCUAUAUAUCAGGCACCAGGCAAAUAUUAAUUCUUUUAAUCUUCAUACACAACACUCUGAGGGAGACAGGAAACCUCAUGGUAUACAGGACACCUCAAAGACCUUUAGGUAAAUACAUAAGCCCAAGACCACUUCUCAAGUGAGAGUCAGAAUCCAAGUCCAAGUAUCCUACCUCCCAGUGCAGCAUUUAUUUCACUUACACAAAGAUGUUUGGUUCACAGCCCUGAAGAGAAACCAUUUACCAGACUAACCUUGAUUAAGAAAUGUCUAUCAAAACUGAAUAAACAGAAAGUAUUGCAACUGCAUCUGACAAUUACAUGUUUUCUUCCUACUGUUUUUAAUAUUGAAAGAAAAAGAUGCUGACAAAAUUAUGAAAAAAAAGCAUGACAAUUAUUUAUUCCAUUAUAUAUUAAGCAGGCUCACUUUAAAAUAAGUUGAUUAGCAUUAAAGUCUUAUCUGAAGGCCCACAAUGAACUUGAAAUGAUUCUACUUUCCCGAAGUUUAUAUAUUUUCCCCCAUGAUCAAACAUAAUUAAAUCCUGUUUCUAAAAUCUAGACAUCCAUAUGAGAGUUCCCAAGGAGUUCCUAUGGCUUGGUC
This 1063-nucleotide long non-coding RNA is filed under the name Homo sapiens (human). RNAcentral's name for it is "HSALNT0094330". The record is from RNAcentral. Lineage: Eukaryota; Metazoa; Chordata; Mammalia; Primates; Hominidae.